UGAGCAUUUUAAGGUUCUCUAAGUAAGAGUUCAGGCAGUAUUCCCCGAACCCCGAAUGGAGAGAGAUGACUAUAAACCGAAGGGAGCAUAAAGAAGUAGGCAAUGAAGCAGAUGGCUAUUAUGGUGGGAUCAGAAAGCUUUACAGUGAGGAUGAGAUCUCUAAGUGGAAAAGCUUUUGGCCAAGCUGCACCCUGGAUU
This is a long non-coding RNA of Ipomoea nil (Japanese morning glory), 198 nucleotides long. RefSeq lists it as uncharacterized. NCBI's taxonomy places the organism in Eukaryota, Viridiplantae, Streptophyta, Magnoliopsida, Solanales, Convolvulaceae. The transcript has 3 exons. The record is from RefSeq and is a predicted model, not a curated record.